RNAcentral lists this ribosomal RNA (425 nucleotides) under Leptodactylus mystaceus group sp. ABGD cluster 49. RNAcentral's name for it is "partial large subunit ribosomal RNA". It matches the Rfam family "Bacterial large subunit ribosomal RNA", at positions 1822 to 2457 of the family's 2925-position model. The record is from RNAcentral. Lineage: Eukaryota; Metazoa; Chordata; Amphibia; Anura; Leptodactylidae.
CUUGACAAACUUAUAAGAGGUCCAGCCUGCCCAGUGACCCUGUUCAACGGCCGCGGUAUCCUAACCGUGCGAAGGUAGCGUAAUCACUUGUUCUUUAAAUGAGGACUAGUAUGAAUGGCACCACGAAGGUUAUACUGUCUCCUUUUUCUAAUCAGUGAAACUAAUCUUCCCGUGAAGAAGCGGGAAUAAAAAUAUAAGACGAGAAGACCCUAUGGAGCUUUAAACAAAUAUACACCUGCCUCUCUACCAAAAAUUUCAGAAGACAAGUAAUUACUCAGGCAUUUUGAUAUAGCGUUUUAGGUUGGGGUGACCGCGGAGCAAAAAAUAACCUCCGCAGCGAACGGGAAUAUUCCCUAAACCAAGGGCCACAACCCCAAGUAUUGAAAAAUCAACACUAAUUGACCCAAUAAAUUUGAUCAAUGAAC